Molecule: ribosomal RNA, 1452 nt
Filed under: uncultured organism
Description: SSU rRNA
Rfam family: Bacterial small subunit ribosomal RNA
Source: RNAcentral
UGAACGCUAGCUACAGGCUUAACACAUGCAAGUCGAGGGGCAGCAUGGUCUUAGCUUGCUAAGGCCGAUGGCGACCGGCGCACGGGUGAGUAACACGUAUCCAACCUGCCGUCUACUCUUGGACAGCCUUCUGAAAGGAAGAUUAAUACAAGAUGGCAUCAUGAGUCCGCAUGUUCACAUGAUUAAAGGUAUUCCGGUAGACGAUGGGGAUGCGUUCCAUUAGAUAGUAGGCGGGGUAACGGCCCACCUAGUCUUCGAUGGAUAGGGGUUCUGAGAGGAAGGUCCCCCACAUUGGAACUGAGACACGGUCCAAACUCCUACGGGAGGCAGCAGUGAGGAAUAUUGGUCAAUGGGCGAGAGCCUGAACCAGCCAAGUAGCGUGAAGGAUGACUGCCCUAUGGGUUGUAAACUUCUUUUAUAAAGGAAUAAAGUCGGGUAUGGAUACCCGUUUGCAUGUACUUUAUGAAUAAGGAUCGGCUAACUCCGUGCCAGCAGCCGCGGUAAUACGGAGGAUCCGAGCGUUAUCCGGAUUUAUUGGGUUUAAAGGGAGCGUAGAUGGAUGUUUAAGUCAGUUGUGAAAGUUUGCGGCUCAACCGUAAAAUUGCAGUUGAUACUGGAUAUCUUGAGUGCAGUUGAGGCAGGCGGAAUUCGUGGUGUAGCGGUGAAAUGCUUAGAUAUCACGAAGAACUCCGAUUGCGAAGGCAGCCUGCUAAGCUGCAACUGACAUUGAGGCUCGAAAGUGUGGGUAUCAAACAGGAUUAGAUACCCUGGUAGUCCACACGGUAAACGAUGAAUACUCGCUGUUUGCGAUAUACUGCAAGCGGCCAAGCGAAAGCGUUAAGUAUUCCACCUGGGGAGUACGCCGGCAACGGUGAAACUCAAAGGAAUUGACGGGGGCCCGCACAAGCGGAGGAACAUGUGGUUUAAUUCGAUGAUACGCGAGGAACCUUACCCGGGCUUAAAUUGCAGAUGAACUACGGUGAAAGCCGUAAGCCGCAAGGCAUCUGUGAAGGUGCUGCAUGGUUGUCGUCAGCUCGUGCCGUGAGGUGUCGGCUUAAGUGCCAUAACGAGCGCAACCCUUGUUGUCAGUUACUAACAGGUUCCGCUGAGGACUCUGACAAGACUGCCAUCGUAAGAUGUGAGGAAGGUGGGGAUGACGUCAAAUCAGCACGGCCCUUACGUCCGGGGCUACACACGUGUUACAAUGGGGGGGUACAGAGGGCCGCUACCACGCGAGUGGAUGCCAAUCCCCAAAACCUCUCUCAGUUCGGACUGGAGUCUGCAACCCGACUCCACGAAGCUGGAUUCGCUAGUAAUCGCGCAUCAGCCACGGCGCGGUGAAUACGUUCCCGGGCCUUGUACACACCGCCCGUCAAGCCAUGGGAGCCGGGGGUACCUGAAGUGCGUAACCGCGAGGAGCGCCCUAGGGUAAAACUGGUGACUGGGGCUAAG